This 5425-nucleotide long non-coding RNA is filed under the name Sus scrofa (pig). RNAcentral describes it as "lncRNA (ENSSSCG00060023788.1)". Lineage: Eukaryota; Metazoa; Chordata; Mammalia; Artiodactyla; Suidae. The record is from RNAcentral.
AAUGUUUCUCCCAUACAAGGGCAUUUUACAUCAUAUGAUAUUUAUGUACUUAGGCUAUAUCCUUCUAGAAUUUGGAGUCAUACUCAUGUUUAUUGUAGAGAGAAAUAUAAUUAAGGUAAACUAUUUACCUCAUUUUAAUUAUUUCCUGUUUCCUCCUGCUUCUUGUUAUUAAAAAAAAUUCUGCAACUAAUUUUAAUUUCAUCCUCUGCAAUAUUUUGACAUAUCUGUAGUGGUGUGAGGGGCGAAACUAAGUCAGGAGUGACCACAGAGGAAAAGUGAAAGAAUGAAAGUCUUAGGAUCUAAAGGAAGAGAAGGAGGCAACCAACGUCUCUAGAUGACUUUUUAAAGCCUCCAGGGUUGGGGGCAGGUAGGGCCUGGGAGAGGAUCAACUCAGUUGAUUGAUGCAUUUUAUUCAUGUAAGUUAGUGUUUAUACUGAUCAUAUAUCCCAGAAAACCCCCAAACAUUGACUCUACCAAACAAAUCCACAGAUAGGCAAUGCUGACAUUGUUUUAGAAACUCAAACUCUGAGAUUCUCUUGGUGAUUGUUCAUGGUUGAAAGAAAGCAACUCUAGUUCUAUCCUUCCUGCCCAGAGAGAGAAUCAAGUGAAGGGCACCAGGGUCCCAGCUGAGUCUCCCUUGGAACAUUCUGAAAUGCCUCACCUAGAGCCUUCUGUUUACAUUCGUUUGACCAGAAGGGUGUCUCAUGGCCUCUCUUAUUUCCAAAUGAACUUAGAAAUUGUUGGAGUUCAGCUGGGCACUUUGCAAUCCCAGACCAAAUUAGGGUGCUAUAGUAAGGAAGAAAAAGAGAAUAGAUGUGGAGCAGGCAACUAGAAAUCUUGGCCACUGUAUCUGAAAGAAAGGAAGAUAUUCUAUAUUUAGAAAACAACUGAGGUCUUUUUGUGUCCUUGAUAUAGAAUGGUUAGAGUGAGGAAAAUUGCCUUUGCGCUGGUUUCCCAGCGGAGUUUCGUAGAGAAAUAGGAACUGUUCCCUUCUGCAUGUUAAGCGGCUCUCAGAUAUGUUGUCCAUGUUCACGCACAAUGACUGUGGUCCCUCAGCAGUGCAGUGCUAUUUUUAGCAGUGAACAAGGAAAAAAAAUCUCAUAGAGCAGAGGCUCUAAGGCUGGUUUCCACUUCUGAAAAUUAAUGUCUUAAGUGUAAGGAGCUCAAAAGCUCUACUAAAAUAGAGUGCUUUGGUGUACCAUUUCUGGAAGGUGGGUAAACAUGAGCUCAACUAUACAAACAGGGCCAACGAAGCAGAUUUUCACCUUCAAGAGAAGCCAUGAAUUUUUAUCAUUUGUGUUCCUCUUUCAAUAUGGAGGACAGAGUUGAGCGUUUCCUGUAUAACUCUGAUAAUACCAUUUGUUGUUAAAUGACUAAAAUGAAAAUAGAGUUUAGAACUACUGAUCUGUAAAUGAUAGAUUUUAUUAUAGGACUAUUUCACAUUUAGGAAUAUUGUUCACCUCAAGAUCAGCAGAUUAUCAUGAAACUGUGAUCAGUUGAAAGAAUUAUAUUUACUUAAAUGAGACCCCUUUAAGGUUUCGUGUGGUUUUAUUUAUUUUUUUAUUUUUCAGAUGACUUUUAUAUUUUUUCCCUUAUUGCUGGCUUACAGUGUUCUGUCAAUUUUCUACUAGAUAGCAAAGUGACCCAGUCACAUGUACAUAUACACACUUUUUCUCACAUUAUCCUCCAUCAUGCUCCAUCAAAAGUGACUAGAUAGAGUUCCCAGUGUUAUACAGCAGGAUUUCAUUGCUUAUCCAUUCCAAAGGCAAUAAUUUACAUCUAUUAACCCCAGGUUCCCAGGCCAUCCCAUUCGCCACCCCUUUGGCAACCGCAAGUCUGUGGUUUGAUUUUGUUUAUUUUAAAAAGGGACUUUAAGAAUAUUUCAGAUUUUAAACAAUAACAACACAGUAUUUCGCACUUGGACAAAAUGUUCAGAUUCUUUUAAUUAUGUAAAUUUCACAUGUUAUUAAGGACAGAUUUCAAGGGUAAUUUCAAAAGCAAACAUUUAGUCAAAGCCAGCUAUUAUAAACUGAGAUAAACUAAGCUCAUGGAAUAUUCAUGCCCCCAACCAUAGGAAGUUUACAAUUUUUUGCUGGAGACACACACAUACAACCAAAUUUGGUUUUUAUUUUCCUCUGGCCCACUCCAUUAAUUCAAGAAUGUAGAGCUAAUCAUUGUUGAGGUACGUUGUUCUCCUUGACAUUGGUUCAGUUAUUUACAUUGAAGUGAUUUAUCACAAAGGAAUUCCUUCUCUUUAGUAGAUGUUUUUGUACUUUAAUACAUGGCUUUCUGGUCUUUGUGGAAACCUUAAGAUCACCCUGACAAAAUAUUGAAUAAUUAACCAGUUAGAUAAUGUUGAAAAACUAAUGAGCAAGAAAGUAUUUUUUUUUAAAAGAUUCUACUGUUGAAAAUGUUCUAUCAAAUUCUGGGGCAGAUAUGCAUGUAUUAAAAGCUAAGCCAUAUGUGAAACUUUUCCUGAGAAAGGAAUAAUAUCUUCCUAAGAAGUUUCUAGAUAAUGAACUAUAGUGUAGACUCUUUGGUGUGCAUCAGAGAAGCCUGGUUAGAAAAAGGUCAUAGAGUCUAUAUUUCCAUUUCUAGGACAGAAUUGUCCUAGCAAAUGGUAUGUGAAGGAUGUGAAAUCAGUGUGACUAAUUAACACAUACAUUCCCUAGUUGGGCUCCAAGUACUUUGUUUACUAAAGUGUAAAUAAAUAAAUAGAUAGGCUAAUACAUGCUUUUAUUUUGGACAAAUGACAGCCCUGGAAUGACCGCUUCUGUUUCUCAUUUCUCCUCAACAUAAGGUUGAAGAUCCUGUGAUUCAAGUUGCUGGGAACUUCUACUUUGCUUAAAUCCACUUGUUCUCCUUCCUUUUUUAAAAUACUGAAGUUAAACAUUGGAACAACAAUGGAGCAAUGUCUCUGGGGAUUGAAUUACGUCUAAUUGGGAAGGAGGCACCGCACUCUCUUGUUUUUAGUUCAUAAAGUAAGACAGUCAAUUAGGAGGCAGCCCAUUUGGAGCCAAGUAGCAGGACAGCCUUUUAAGAGGAGAUUCAUUCAAACAAAUAAGAGGAUUUUAAAAAGUAUGUCUUGUAAGAGGCCAUUCUAGGUGGACUGCUGGGUUAUGCCUGUCUUUUCAAGCAGUGGCAGUGUAGUAUUAGGUGGUGAAGGACACUCAUAUCCAUAAAACUAUGGCUUUUGUAAUGCGGAUGAUUAGAGUAGGAAGUCCCAUUCUUCCCCAGGCAUGUUCCCCUAAUAGUGAUUGUCCUGGGUGCUGCUCCUCUGUGUUCUCUUCUAAUCAGUCCCUUCAGCCAAGUAGCAUCAGUCACUCUCUCUAAUGUCAGUGAAUAUGAGGAAGAUUUAGAAUAGACAUCUGUUCUGUUACAUUGACUUCCAAAUACAGUGUAUACCAUGGAUUAUAAAUAUACAGUGGGCAUUACAAAUAUUCUUGCGUCCACUAGAAAUCUCAUUUUCUCUGCAUGGGAAUUUUAAUAUCACACUUACAUUGCUCGUUUUAGGUUGUUUUACUAAAAUAGGUCAUUUUGUGCAAAUUCUCAAAUGUGGACUUUCAUCAGAAACAUAUAUUUCUGUGUUUUCUAGAUGUCAGAGUGGUUGUCUUGAAGUCAUAUUUAGAUCUGAAUUGAAAACCCCUAGAAAAAUAGUGUUGUAGGAUGCUGCUUUGUUAGUUAACAGGAGGAUACCUAGUUAUAGUUUUAAGGAUAGCAAAUUUGUUUACUGCAGACUUGACUUCUGUUGUGCUCACCUUAAUGAGCUUCACAAUAGUGUUCUUUUGGGCUUCAAAUGAUGCAUUAUAAUCCCAUCAGCACCUUUGCCAACCAAUAAAUUAUUAAUAAGGUGAUGAUCAUGCUAAUGAAGCUAUUUUAUUAGAUUUUGAUGGAUUUUAUGGGGAGGCCUUUGAAAUACAUAGAGUAUUUUCUCCCAGGGCAAAUCUAGCUUCAUUGAAAGCCUCCCUGAAAACUCUUCAUUACUCACAAUAUCGCUCGCCUGUUUUCUAAUGACAUGAUAGUCACUUUCACAGAAACAUAAUAGUCUGCAAGUCAAAUGUUUAAUUUGCUGCUGCAGAAGAAUUCACAAUAGAAUUCUCAAUGUGGGGUUAAUUACAUAGUAAUGAAAGAGUAAACCAAUUGGGAAAAUGCUCUGAGUAACAUCGCUCUGUUUUCUCCUGAUAAAGAUGUGCCUGCUUGUUUCGUUUUAUAUUCUGGGAAAUUCCGAACUAAGAGAAAACACUUAAAAGGUAGGUGAACAAACAGUGAAGUUCUUAUCUUUUGUCAACACAGUGAAAAAACAAUGACUGUGUAUAAUUAUUAUAUUAUAAAAGCAACCAUUAAUAAUUAGCAAUGCAUAAAGUAUAAUAUUUUGUCAUAAGCAGGAGAACGUAGUAUAAGUAAUUGAUAAUAUAUUCUAAAGAAAGAAAUUGCUCAUCUGAACAAAACCCAGAAAAAUAAUGGAGUGGUCACUCAAUAUUGUCUCCAUGUUUUGAAUUUCUCAAAGAAUCGUUCGCCCUCACUUUCUGUGACUAGAGUGGCGUAUAAUUAGCUGUGUUAUUUAUUAGCUUUACUCCAUGUAUGUCCCAUACCUCCUUGGGUACUUUACCUAUUCUAUCUUAUUAAACUUCUCAAAAUUUUUAUGAGAAAGGUAGUAUGAUCCCUAUUUUAUUAGGUGAGGAAAAUGACACAUAAAGAGCAUAAAAACCUUUCCUGUGUGAUAGAUUCAAAUUCAGAUCUCUUUCUCGCCAAAGACUGUGUUCUCAUUCAUUAUCCCAUCCUGUCAUCUGUGUCAGUCAUGUAUGUUGACAUUUAUAUCAGAAAAGCGUGAAAGUUCAAAGAGAGAAAUAUUUUCUAUCUGAAUUUGCUUAUCAUCCUGGGUCAACAGCGGCUGGUACAGUGACACUGUGUUAGAUUUACUAUAAAACCAUAGUAAUUAGUAUUGUAUAGGUGCAAGGAUAAACAAACAAAUCAAACUAGCAAAAGAGAGUCUAGAAUUAGACUCACGCAUAUAUGGAUAAUUGAUUUUCAACUAAAGCACAAAUGGGGAAAGGAAAAUUUUGUCAAACUCCGGACCUCAAAAAUUGAAUAUCAGUGUUGGAAAGAAGAGCUUGAUCUUUACCUCAUUCCACAUAAAAACAUUAAUUCUAGAAUUGAUUUUAAUUCUAAUUCUGUAGUUUCUAGAAAAAAAUAUAGGAAACCUUUUCUGGACCUUGGACGAAGCAAAGAUUUCAUAGCCAAGGCCCAAACUGUGUUAGCCAUAAAAAUUACAUUUCAUGGAGUUCCUGUCGUGGCACAGUGGUUAACGAAUCCGACUAGGAACGAUGAGGUUGUGGGUUCGAUCCCUGGCCUUGCUCAGUGGGUUAAGAAUACGGCGGUGCCAUGUGCCAUGAGCUAUGGUGUAGGUCGCAGACGCGGCUCGGAU